AAAAAUUCUCUCCCUUAUAACUCCUAAUGACCUGCAUAAACCUUCACAUCCAAUUGCAGCGCAAUAACAGUCCAAACAUGGCAACAAUUAUCUAUUACAACAUUUACUACCCAAUUUCUAAUAAAAUAACUAAAAACAUAAUACUAAACUUGCAAAAACUUAGUUUUAAUGAAAUUUUGGUUUUAAUAAUUUGAUUUAGGAAUUCCUUUCCACUGCUAUUGCUUGUGAUUUCCUUCCGAAUCAAUUUACUACUGCACCUCUUAUCCGAAAAUGAGAUUUAAUUUCCCUCGUAAAUUAAUUAAUUUGCAACUUCAAUUCCUUAAAGCACCUCCAGCAGGCAGGAGCUGCGUGAAUCCUAGACUAUAUUUAGUCUAGGAUGGAAAUUUCGCUCCAGCAGAUGGAGUAAAUUUAAUCGGGUCAUUUUUCCGACAAGCCAAAUCGACUAAAUCUGCAAACCGAAAUCUCGUGGACUAUAAUUUAUAUUAUAUUUAAAUAGAAGGCUUGGUUGGAGAAAAAAAAAUAGAGAAGGAG
Molecule: long non-coding RNA, 531 nt
Filed under: Panax ginseng (ginseng)
Lineage: Eukaryota; Viridiplantae; Streptophyta; Magnoliopsida; Apiales; Araliaceae
Description: long non-coding RNA (PGIN_LNC008521)
Source: RNAcentral